UGUAGGGCUAGAAGACCCUGAGGCUGUUCA
Molecule: non-coding RNA, 30 nt
Filed under: Homo sapiens (human)
Lineage: Eukaryota; Metazoa; Chordata; Mammalia; Primates; Hominidae
Source: RNAcentral